This 253-nucleotide ribosomal RNA is filed under the name uncultured bacterium. RNAcentral describes it as "partial 16S ribosomal RNA". It matches the Rfam family "Bacterial small subunit ribosomal RNA", at positions 524 to 776 of the family's 1533-position model. The record is from RNAcentral.
UACGUAGGGUGCGAGCGUUAAUCGGAAUUACUGGGCGUAAAGCGUGCGCAGGCGGUGAUGUAAGACAGGUGUGAAAUCCCGGGGCUCAACCUCGGAACUGCAUUUGUGACUGCAUCGCUGGAGUGCGGCAGAGGGGGAUGGAAUUCCGCGUGUAGCAGUGAAAUGCGUAGAUAUGCGGAGGAACACCGAUGGCGAAGGCAAUCCCCUGGGCCUGCACUGACGCUCAUGCACGAAAGCGUGGGAAGCAAACAGG